This is a long non-coding RNA of Oreochromis aureus, 1358 nucleotides long. RefSeq lists it as uncharacterized. The record is from RefSeq and is a predicted model, not a curated record. Lineage: Eukaryota; Metazoa; Chordata; Actinopteri; Cichliformes; Cichlidae. The transcript is spliced from 3 exons.
CCUAUGCUCUCUUUAAAGAAGAAAACAGAACUUUGUGCUUGUGGAGGCUACAGCAAGGGACGAGUGGUAAAAAUAUACAUAACUGAACUUCCACAGGUAUACAGAGAAAUAAGCAUUAAGAUUCAAGUAGGGGAGGGGACCAUCAAAGAACGCUUCCUGGAUGUCAGAUGGGGUGAAAGGAAAGAGUGAGGAGGAGGAGGAGGAUGGCUGUAAGGAGUUUCUGAAAAAAAAAAAAUCCCUGGUUCCAAACAGCAAACGCAUGACCUGAAAAAAGGGAGUCUUACCUUUCAAGGAUGAAAGGGUGGCAGCACUUAAAGUCAACUCAGUUGAGGUAGUCUUGCACUGCCUCGAGUCUAAGAAAUGAGUCAGCAUGAUGUUUGCAGGAAAAUUCAAAGAAGGAUGGGUGGCCUGCUUCCAGUCAUAUGUUUUAAUUAAAAAAGCUAGGUGAGCAUGCUUCAGGUCUUGCUACAGCCACGUGUUUCUGCACAGUUAGGCGCAGGGUGUCGAAGGAGCAUGUCUUUGAACGCGGUAAUCUGCGAGAGAGUGACGGCUUCCUGGAAUGUGCCUUUCUGUUUUGAUAUCUCCCAAUGAAACGAGUUCAUCUUCCCAGGAGAAGAAACUCACAGCAGGGGAGGCAUACAGUGACAAGGCUGUCUGCCAGCCUACUAACUCCAUGAUUGUUUCCAGACAAGUGUAGUUGCCCCCUGGACAGCACGUCUCUCAGUUCUAGAGUAAUGGCCAAUUACCAGGAGGCAGUUUGUUGAAAGGAUGCAGCCAGGAAUUACAUAUGGCUUCAAACAGCCCUCAGAUCCAAACAUGUGCUCUCAAACAAACUACCUUGGUAGAUGAAAUACAUUUGAAGGAAACCAAACUGCCUCUUGAGCAUCGAGUGACAGUUGAGAAAUGCCCGAGUUAUGAGUGAAACGAGAACUGGGAUACUUUGCGUUUUAUUUUAACACUAACCAGAUAGAGUUUUCUAGGUUGGAACGGAGAGAUGCUUGAUGACAUGUGCCGUGUUAUUAUUUCCAUGCAUUCAGCUUUUGUCUUUGUGUAGUCUGGGGUGUUGGAAUUUGCUAGUUAAAUGUGGCAUUUGAAUGUGGAACAGUGUGGUUACACACAUCAAGGAAAGGAUGCAUUACUAUUCAUUCAUCCAUUACCCAGAGAUGGUUUUUGUAUGUGUGUGUGUUUUGUUUUUUGACAUGACACAAAUUUGACUUUUGCCAUGUGGAAGUUGACGUGUAACUUGCACCUGCAGUCCUUUUUAAAAAGGCUCAACAUAAGCAAAAAUAAAUAAAUAAGUCAUUUUCAGGACACCUAUGGGGAUUCAAAGCAGCUUCGUCUGCUGAUGUGUCAGGACU